AAGACCUUAUGUUAAUUAAACAUUUAACCUUCAAAGUUAAAAAUACAAGUAAUAAUCUUGUAAGUCUUA
RNAcentral lists this transfer RNA (69 nucleotides) under Libellula angelina. RNAcentral's name for it is "tRNA-Trp". The record is from RNAcentral. Lineage: Eukaryota; Metazoa; Arthropoda; Insecta; Odonata; Libellulidae.